AUGCACUGUCUUUGAACCUUUUUGGUCUUUUUCCGUGACCUCUUAGGCCAAGCUACAGUGCUAAAACAAAUCGGCUUGUUCAUAACUGGAGCCUCCUGGCAUCCCUCCCAGUUUGCUCUUUUAAAUGCAAGUCACAGCU
Small nucleolar RNA from Labrus bergylta (ballan wrasse), 139 nucleotides. Lineage: Eukaryota; Metazoa; Chordata; Actinopteri; Labriformes; Labridae. The record is from Ensembl.